GCCCAAAGUGGGACAAAGGGAUAUUAAAGUAAUAAGUAAAGAAUUGUGGGCUAAAAUGGGUAUAUCUCAAUACACCCACAGAUAUAGUCUAAGGUUUAGAGUUUAGAAGUUAGAUUUAAGUCUGAGUUUUAAAUCUCCUAACUAAUUAUUUAAAGUGAUAAAAAAAAAAAAAGACUAAUAUUAAUUGUGUGAGGAAAAGUUUGGAAGGUUAGAAAAAUUUUAAGUAACACCUCAUCUUGAGGUAUGGCAAAGCCACAGAUUGACACACUGAAACCUGGAAGUUGCCAGCUCGCAAAAGAGCUAUUGUGCUGUUGCUGUCAAGUAAAGCAGCUGCAUAUCUACACCGCAUUGAACAAUAAUCUGAAGGAAACCUGGCAGUUUAAGGGAAAUUGUAAUCCUUGCCAUUUACGGAUCUACGGAUAUAGAUCUAACGAUAUCCAAAAAAAAAAAAAAAAAAAA
Molecule: long non-coding RNA, 459 nt
Organism: Rhagoletis pomonella (apple maggot)
Lineage: Eukaryota; Metazoa; Arthropoda; Insecta; Diptera; Tephritidae
Exons: 2
Source: RefSeq, a predicted model, not a curated record